UGAGGAAUAUUGGUCAAUGGGCGGAAGCCUGAACCAGCCAAGUCGCGUGAGGGAUUAAGGCCCUGCGGGUCGUAAACCUCUUUUGCCGGGGAGCAGAGGUCCGGACGUGUCCGGGCCGGGAGAGUACCCGGAGAAAAAGCAUCGGCUAACUCCGUGCCAGCAGCCGCGGUAAUACGGAGGAUGCGAGCGUUAUCCGGAUUUAUUGGGUUUAAAGGGUGCGUAGGCGGGCAUUUAAGCCGGCGGUCAAAUGUCGGGGCUCAACCCCGGCCUGCCGUCGGAACUGGCAGACUUGAGUUGGCGAGAAGUACGCGGAAUGCGCGGUGUAGCGGUGAAAUGCAUAGAUAUCGCGCAGAACUCCGAUUGCGAAGGCAGCAUGCCGGCUCCACACUGACGCUCAGGCACGAAAGCGUGGGUAUCGAACAGG
RNAcentral lists this ribosomal RNA (424 nucleotides) under uncultured bacterium. RNAcentral's name for it is "bacterial SSU rRNA". It matches the Rfam family "Bacterial small subunit ribosomal RNA", at positions 355 to 776 of the family's 1533-position model. The record is from RNAcentral.